Oreochromis niloticus (Nile tilapia) is the source of this 361-nucleotide long non-coding RNA. RefSeq lists it as uncharacterized. Lineage: Eukaryota; Metazoa; Chordata; Actinopteri; Cichliformes; Cichlidae. The record is from RefSeq and is a predicted model, not a curated record. The transcript has 3 exons.
UUUUUCUUUAUUUUUCUUUUCUUUUUGAGCAGUGUACAGCUACUACCUCAAGUUCUCCCCAGAGGAAAGAACCAGCCUAAGCAGAGAAUCCCAGACCUCCCUCCAGCCACCUCCUCCAGCUUAUCCAGGAGAACAAGAUCUUCCCAGGCCAGACUUGAAGGACAACCCUACAGUACAGAAUGCCGGCAGGACAAGGGGCUUCUUCCAGGAUAAUGACAUCACUCUUUUGGACCAACCAACUGAGAACCUACAAAAAUGGACAACAGUUUCAGACAGUAGAUGCCCGUUGUGCAGCCGUCUUCACCACUUGGAGAAAUGUUCCCACUCACCUCAUGGAAACUCUUGCAUGCUGCAACAAAUU